ACAUUCCGAAGUUCUGUGAAAAGAGGCACUAGCGCUCAGCCACGCAAGGCAGGAAAAGAGAGGAAGUUUUCGCAUUCUGAUUGCAGCCUGAGUUCCCCGUAGCAAGGCUGCUUCUCUCCACCCACUCCUCACCAAGAACUCCUGAACUUGAGGGUGGACGACUUCAAAGCUAGCUCCCACAGACUCACCUGAAAAAGAGUUCAGCUGCGCGUUCAUUGAACCUGAUCACCUAUGUGAGGCGGUGGGAACCAUAUGGAGAUUUAUAUUAGAACUUCAGCAAAGUGCACAGCUGCAGCCGGCCGAAGCCAGCUCUCGGGCUGACAGGCAAAUGAACCAGAUCCUGGACGGGGCCUCUGGGUGGCAGCUCCGGCCUUUUGGUUGUUGGACAACUAUAGUCAGAACUGAAGUGGAACAGGGGCAGGAGAAAUAAUACACUUUUACUCCACGCAACUGUUGCUUUCACAUGAUCUUCAGGAAUGUAACUGGGAUAAUUGUCCAAAUCAAAUCCCAUGCCCUGUCAUGGUACUGAUUAUUAAGGUGACUCUAUGAAAGGAUCACUCCAAAAUGACACACACCAGAAUAGAGGUCCUGUCUUACUAAGCACUAUACAGUAUGGAGAGAUCCUGCCAAACCCGUCGGGACGAAUAACAGAUGAAUUCGUAAAACUGUUCAUCUCUGUUAUCCUGAAUGGUCGCUCAGACAACAUUUUACUCAACUAUAAAGGCAUUUGAACUGGUCGAACAGGACGACAGAGCAGUGAGCAUGAGAUCAUUGCAGCCGAGUAGCAAACUGGCACCCAGCCUUUUCACCCCUUCGGUUCGGGAGACGAACGUGUGCAGUCCUCGUUUCUCAAGUCAGCACAGCCUGGAAGGAUUCCGGGGCUCUCCCACCUUCUACCAUUCUGCUGCCAGUCGGUGGCAACGAUUGGUACAGAUUCUGCGCAGUGCUUUGUGCCUGGAAUAUGGAGAAGGAAGAGAAUGAAGACAAGCCCUCUGGACCUCCUUCUCUGAGAAAUACUGGGAGCCCAGAAG
This 1031-nucleotide long non-coding RNA is filed under the name Mus caroli (Ryukyu mouse). Its description in RNAcentral is "lncRNA (MGP_CAROLIEiJ_G0013458.1)". The record is from RNAcentral. Lineage: Eukaryota; Metazoa; Chordata; Mammalia; Rodentia; Muridae.